Molecule: RNA transcript, 6104 nt
Organism: Scophthalmus maximus (turbot)
Lineage: Eukaryota; Metazoa; Chordata; Actinopteri; Pleuronectiformes; Scophthalmidae
Gene name: TBC1 domain family member 10B
Exons: 19
Source: RefSeq, a predicted model, not a curated record
GCCCUGUUCAACCUCCGGCGGGGGAGGAAAUAAAGCGUUUGACAACAUCGGCGGCGACUCAGGGAUUUUUAAAAACUGGCGACAUCGUCUUCGAACUUCUGUCUCUCUCGUUCGUAAACAUGAGGAAGCGAAGCGGCAGCAGCGCCGGCAGGAGAAGCUCCACGUUCAGGAGACGCAGCGACAAUUUGCACUUUGACGAGUUCGGCUUCGCUGUGACCAAGAGGAAGGAGCAGAAGCUUCAUCACCGCUGUCACGACUACAGUUACCCCCAGCUGAGCUCUCUGAGGGUGACGGAGCUGUGUGAGCUGCUCAGCUACUGGAAUGGAGCCAGCUUCAUCUGCAAGAGCCAGAUCGAGCGGUUCAUCAGAAUGGGGAUUCCUCCGAGCCUGCGAGGUCCAGUGUGGAAGUGUCUCCUCAGCACCGACGGCCUGAGAGAAAGCAGUGACUUCAACUACCAGAAGUGCCUGUUGGAGGUGCGAGGGCCCCUGGUGGACCUGGGUGUGAGCGAGUACAGCAUCCUGUCGGCCAUCGCGACGCUCAGCGACACGCAGAACGACCUGGACCUGAACCAUCAGCCGCCGUCCGGCUGCCCCGAGCCCUGCUACUCCGCCGAUGACAUCACCGUGUUUCGACAGAUCGCCUUGGACCUGCAGCGCUCCUUCCCAACCCACCGCUCCCUGAUGGGCGACAGACCAGAGGCCAUCGAGGGUCAGGCCAAGCUCUUCAGGGUCCUCAUCGCAUACGCAAAGUACAACCCACAGGUCGGAUACAGCCAAGGGAUGUCCUAUAUAGCUGCUGUGCUGCUGAUGCAGUUGGGAGAGGAGGAGGCGUUCUGGGCUCUGGCCGCCUUGUUGGAUAAACCCAAGUAUCUGACUGAACUCUUUGACCUCAGCCUCACCAAGGUCCAACAUCAGGUGAAGGUGUUUGACCAGUUCCUGAAACACAGGAAGCCCACACUCUCGCAGCACUUGGAGUCGGUGGGAGUCUUGUCAGUCCACUUUGUGAUGCCCUGGUUCCUCACGCUCUUCACUUCCCUGCCCUGCUGGGAUUCUGUCCUCGCUGUCUGGGAUCUCAUCAUUCUGCACGGCCUGUCGGCUGUGUUUCGUAUCGCUCUGACCAUCAUCGACCUCCUGGAGCCUCGACUGAUGGACCUGAACGAUGAGGGGGCAGUGUUGCCCCUGCUGCUGAGAGUCCCUGUUGAUGUAGCCAAGUACACUGUUUUGGUCCCUGCCCUGUGGAACACCGAAGUCCAAGACUGGGAGAUCAAGUGUAUGAACAGUCUGGUGCUGGACGAUGGAGCCAGAACAGAACAGGGCGAAACACAGACGGCCACAUUGUCGAGCCAAACCAGCGAAGGUAAAGAAGAAGAACAAAAUGCACCAGCACUGUCGGCAGGAGGAAAAAGUGCUGAGAAAGACUCAGUCGCUGGAGCUAAAAGUGUCCUGACCCGGGUGAUGCGUCUGGCCCAGCGGUACCUGUCCAACCCGAUGGGCCGACAGCGUGCCGAAGAGAAGAGUUCACAAACGCACAGCAAGCCCAGACAGCGUAGUCCCGCACCUGGACGGGUCUUCAGGAGUCGGACCUCGGCCUCGCAGACAAAAGCUCAGAUCAGGUCCAGGAGGCGGAGCCAGCAGGGAGGAGGCCGAGCCCCUCCCCAGCAGCAGCAGCAGCAGCCAGUGCAGGAGAGUAGUAGUGGUGAUGUCACUGCGACGGAGGCAGCUGGUUGUGGGAAAACUGACAGUGCAGAGCAAACGUUCCAGAGGGCAGCUACAGGGCCAGUGGGCAGGGUGGCCCGUCAUCACAGUAACCACAACAUCAGGGUCAAGUCCCUCCGUCUUCUACGAAAUGGGAAGAACCCGUUAAACCAGAGCCCUCCCUCCUCCUCCUCCUCCGUACCCCCGUCGUCACUCCGUUCCUCCACCCUCCCUCCGCUGUCGUCCGCCCCGUCUUCAAAUCCUCUGUCAUCCGAGCAAACCAAGCAGCGAGACGCGCCCAGGAUGGCUUUCAGCAAGGAGUUUUCAUCCAGACAUCAGACCAGAUUCAGGGAGUCGACGCUGAUCUGAGGCCGAGAGAGGGAGAAGCCACACUACGAGCGUAAUGAUCAACGAGGGUAAAUGUUUGUGAUGCUGCACAUGAAGAAAAAGAGGUCUGUUUGCCUUCGACAGGAGGUGAGGAACACAAGGUCAAGGCAGCUCCGGUGUGUGUGUGUGUGUGUGUGUGUGUGUGUGUGUGUGUGUGUGUGUGUGUGUGUGUGUGUGUGUGUGUGUGUGUGUGUGUGUGUGUGUGUGUGUGUGUGUGUGUGUGUGUGUGUGUGUGUGUGUGUGUGUGUGUGUGUGUGUACUCCAGGUUGAUGGUUAAUCCAGAGUUUACAUUACGGAGCUGGGUGGGUCGCAGCGCGGCGCCCCCUCACCUGCCAUCACCUCUCUCACCACCUGACGUUAAUGUGCGCGGUGUUCCACUCCACCCGACCCGGCCGCGCCCAUCUGGAAAACUUAACGACCAGAAAUAGACGAGUGCACUUCCUCUGCGAUGAUGAUGCACCAGGCUUUUUUCCAUUUUAUCUGAUUCUACUCCCUGCACCUCUGAUAGGUCACCCGAGUCCUCAGCUGACACCGUCGCCCAACCUACACUUCCUGUUCUGUGUCCGCUGCUUUUAUCUGGAAACUCAGAUGACGAAUUUUACAAAAGUAGGAAAAAAGAGAUUGAAAUAAUUUUGCAUUUGACAUGAAUACGUUUAUACCUCCGCCAUCGCAGAAGAACUACAGUAACUACUCACUCGACAACUCACUGACGUCAAGAAACCAGCGGCUCGCAUCUACUAAAUCUAGUUCAACUAUGAAUCUUCAAACCUUUUUGUUUUUUUUCCCGCACACAGACUGAUUCAGCUGUACAAUAUUGAUCGGUAUCGUCUCUCCGCCCUCCCUGCUGGCGUUUGGCCCUAUAACUGACUCAAGUGCAGGAAGUGGAGCCGGAGAGAUGAUUGAAGUGGCCGAAUGAAACAGAACAGAACCGGCUCGUCAAGCUCAUUAAUGUCAGGGCCCGACUCCCUCCUCGCCCGCCGUAAAUCACAGCGUCUUAUUUGUCUGUGGUUAUCGUGUUGCUCUCACACUGAAGCAACACUGGGAAAUCUGAAUGUAGCUGACAGAUUGUUGACACUAAAAAUACAUUUUUUUCAACCUGAAUCAAAAUGUUGCACUGCAUUAAAGGUGACACAUCCCCCAAGUUGUCAAAACAAAACUCAAAGGAGUAGUUCAACAUUUGAUUUGAUUUGCUUUCUUUCCAAGACAGAGAGGAGAUUCAGAAUAUCAAUCUCAUAUCACUUGAUUGCAGAGCCGAGGUCAAGAAGAAGCUAACCUAGCUUAGCAUAAGGACAGGAAGUAAGAGCAAACAUUUAGCCUAGCCUAGCUCUGUCUACGCGGCUCAGAGCAGAAUGUGGAGAUUUCAAAGUGAAGCAGGUUAUUCUGCAAAGCUGCUAACGAGGAUGGAACGGCCAUGUUGUUUCAUGCUCUGUAAUGAUCUCUCUGUUAUGUUACCAGUAAGUAAAACGACAUAAAUGUGGGGAUUCAGACAUUCACAAAACGGCCAUUGAAGGACUUGGAGUCAAAGUUCAAUUUAGUGACACAAGUUAACAAUGUCAAACUUUUUUUCCGGUGUGAAUUCCUGAGUCUGCAGCGAUGUGAUGCUGCACGGCCUCUGCUUUGAGCCAAAUGCUAGCGUUAGCAUGGCAAAAAUGCUCACGGUGGCAAUGCUAUGAUUUUCUCAUUAGCACAAAGUAUAGUUUAAUUCAAUGGGGAUGCCAUUAGUUUAACAGCACAUGAUACCAAAUCAUUGGGUAAAUCUGAAUUUUCAUUCCACUAGCAUGGCUAAUAAAUUAUGUGUCAAAGCUAACAGAUUAGCAUAGUUAGUAUCUUGUAAAAACAACUAUGUGGCUCUAGGUGGAGAUACUGUACAGGCACGAAUGAGCACCUGGCGAACAAAUGCAAAUCUCAUGAUAAAAUUUAGCAUUUGUUUGUUCGACCCAUCAGUCAUUAGUAACACACAGAAUAUACUAAAUCCAGCGUUACCGAGCUCAAAUCGUGUACUUCCAUCCCUGUAGAGGGCGGCUCACUUUAUCACAACUGGAAAAGCUUGUUCCUGUGAUGCUAUUGCUCGUUAAUCAAAUUCUGAGCUGCCAACUGCUUUUGAUUGGGAAGUUAUUAAAAUUCGUCCCUGACUUUCAUUGCAAUGCAGCAAGAGCACACUUGUUCUCUGCGCUUGCUUCACAAAACAAAGGAAACCUCAACAUAACUGCUGAACAGUGACCAAAUAUAACCAUAACUUUGGAUAUAAUUGCAUGAAUGCAUUUGACAUCGUGGACGAGGACGUACGGAAAACGUGGCCUGAAUGCGACAUUUGACAUCUAUGUUGUGGACUCCGGGGUCACGGGUGUGUUUGAGCGAGCGCUGAACACGUAUGACCUUCCUGCUCAGUGUGAGCAAACACGUCUCCGGCGCCGACGUCAGCAGCAGCUCCACCUCACUGACAGUUGAGGUGCUGAUGGCUGAUGAAUGGAAUCCACGCUCUGUAAUCACACGGUGUUCACAAUAGAAAGUAUUCUCGGUAUCUCCCAACGUAUUACUUGGUAUCCGAAAGAUAGUGCAUUGUGCUUUAGUGCGGUUGCUGUUGCUUGUCAGUGGAUGUAUAAUCUUUAACGGAGUCAUGUGAGAGAACUCUGUGCCAUUGGCUAACGUCACAAUUCAAUUUAGUCUCUUUUGUUUUUGAAUGAAGCAUAUUUCUGAGGUUUUCUUUCCAUAUUCUAACACAAAGCUAACCGCUGUAAGAAACUGAAACCUUUGUGAUUUUAAGGUUAAACAACAAUUGGUGGUUGAUCAUUGUACAUUAUAUAUAGCCGUGCUGUAUGACUGUGACCUGUGGUGAAAAGUGCUUGUCAAGACAUCAAAAGCAGCGUAAUUUACUAGUGACGCGUUCGGCCCCUGCACCAAGCUAACGUAAUAUGAUCCAAGCUAACGUCAUAUGGUCCAAGCUAACGUAAUAUAGUCCAAGCUAACCUAAUAUGGUCCAAGCUAACGUAAUAUGGUCCAAGCUAACGUAACAUGAUCCACGCUAACGUAAUAUGGUCCAAGCUAACGUAAUAUGGUCCAAGCUAACGUAAUAUGAUCCAAGCUAACGUAAUAUGGUCCAAGCCAACGUAAUAUGAUCCUAGCCAACGUAAUAUGGUCAAAGCUAACGGAAUAUGAUCCACGCUAACGUAAUAUGGUCCAAGCUAACGGAAUAUGAUCCACGCUAACGUAAUAUGGUCCAAGCUAACGGAAUAUGAUCCAAGCUAACCUAAUAUGGUCCAAGCUAACGUAAUAUGAUCCAAGCUAACGUAGUAUCAUCCAAGCUAACCUAAAAUGAUCCAAGCUAACCUAAUAUGGUCCACGCUAAUGUAAUAUGGUCAGAGACCAGACAACUGAUGUUAACGCACCUUAAAAUUCCGACAAAGACAUGCUGAUCCAACAAAACGUCUUUCUAACUGAGCGUUACUGAGUUACGUAACUGUACAGUUCAAACUGUAAUCCUUUAUGCUGCGUUCACACCAAACACAAAGCGAAUUUUCGCGUCGAGUUAAGCAAGUUUGGCCACAAGAAUAUGUUUUGUUUAGUCUUGGGAGUAACGUGAGUAAAAUAUCUGCCCGUUCUCUGUCGGACGCCGACAUUUUUUUUUCUUAACUUUCCGUCAUGCGAAAAAUUUCGUUCGAGUUCAAAUAUUUCAAUUCUUGUCUUCUUGUGUCUUUGCGUUGACUUUGUCUAUAAUCUCAUUGAACGCACUAUUACACUACCGCUUGCUGAACAAGUCAUUACAACAUCCAUUCAGACGGAAGACAGCCAACUUCAAACCAGUAAAACAAAAAGCACAAAUUUCAAGUUUUCUCAUUAAAAUAAAAAAAAAUCUGUCCCAACUUUGAAAAUAGUCUGUUCGUGUUUCCAAGGCGAAGCGGCACCGACAAUCUAACAUGGCAGAUACACAACAUCGUAGGUUGUAAUAAAUUUCACAUCCUGAAUUUGUAUGUUCAUCCUCGUCCUUGUUGUUAUAUUAAAGAUCAGAUGUCAUAAGUCAAAUUA